Long non-coding RNA from Macadamia integrifolia, 2014 nucleotides. RefSeq lists it as uncharacterized. The record is from RefSeq and is a predicted model, not a curated record. Lineage: Eukaryota; Viridiplantae; Streptophyta; Magnoliopsida; Proteales; Proteaceae. The transcript is spliced from 3 exons.
AACUACCCUAUACUCGUUGAAAACCCGUUAUACCCUUUAUGAACUAAGACCUCGUUUCCUCUUAAUCAAUCAAAACAACUUUUUCCCUCUCAAUCGAUCAAGCCGCUUUUCAUCUCUCUCUGUGCGCAUCUCCUUCUUCACUAAUCGGUUAAAACCCUUGGGAUCGAUUGUGCAUUUCGAAGGAGUUUAAAGGCUCUCUCUCUCUCUUCGUUGGUCGGUCUCACAGCUUCCUGUGAUCAAUUGUGCAUUUCGAAGGAGUAUGAAGCUAGCCGAAGCCCUCUCUCCCUGAAUCUCCUUCUUCACUUCAACCCUUUCUCUCUGCGGUGGGUUUUAGCUCGCCCUCUGCAGCCGAAACCCUCUCAAAGCCGCCUUCUGGGAUAAGCAUUUUUCUCUGAGAAUCUCUCUUCUAUUGAAGUCCUAUCCUCUCAAAUCGGUUUUGAGGGUGUGUGUCUCCAAGGUGUGUGUAUCGAAGGAUCUCUAUUGCAAUCCUUGGAUUUGGAGGGUGGAAUAUUUCCUAGCGAGAUUGCUGCAAUUUUUCGUUCGUCAUUGUUCGUGCGGAUCGACACGUGGUGCAACUCAAUCCAUUUCGUUGCGAGGAAAGCUACAUCGAGGGUCAAUGUGAUGCCAUCUCUAAUAUACUCUCAAGUUGUCAUCAUAGAUGGUGUAGUAGACAUCUGUAUCAAAAUUUCAAGUUAUAGCAUCCAGGUAUAUUACUGAGAAAGCAGUUUUGGAGAGCAACAAAAGCAUCCAAUCACUUUUUUUUUUAUAAGGCAAUGAAUGAGAUGAAAGCAACUAAGAAAGAGGCUUAUGAAUGGCUGGGGUAAGAAUCCUUCUAAGAUAUGAGCAAGACAUGCUUUUGAUUUUAGAUGCAAAAGUGAUCAUACCGCAAAUAACAUGACAAAAUCUUUCAACCAAUGGAUUUCACCUUUUAGGGGAAAGCCAAUUAUGACUUUGAUUGACGAGAUUAGGAAACAACUAUGGGCAAGAUGCAAAAAUGAUAUCAGUUGGGAUGUAGCUUUAAGGGAAGUGUCACACCAAAGAUCAAAAGUAAAUUAGAUGCCAUGACUACUGAAGCUAGAGACUGGAUGGUUCUUACUGCUGGAUUAGAUGAGUUUGAAGUCACGGAUAGAGAGGACAAAUAUGUAGUUGAUUUAAAGAAACAAACUCGUGGAUGCAGAGUAUGGGAUGGUACAUGAUUGCCAUAUAAGUAUUGUGAUGAUUCUUACAGUUUGGAAAAAUACUUGGCAGUAUACAUGGAUAUUAUUCUUGUAUUACAUGGUCUGGGUGAGUUGAGAGAAGAACACUUUAUGGGGAUUGUUCAACCUCUACCAUUAAAAAGGUUGGUGGGCAGGCCAUAUGAAAAUAGGAAGAAGGAACUGGACGAAGGACCAUCUAGAGAGUUCAGGAAAAGAUCCAAUACUGUCAGAUGUGGAAGAUGUAAGUCCAGUGAGUACAAUGUAAGGACAUGCAUGGGGCCUACAGUGAAUGAGAAGGAGGCCUCUUCUGGGAAGACAGUAAGAGCAAAGGUAUUAAGAUUACAAUUACCAUUACUUAUAAUUUUCUCCUAGUGGUAUCUACUAAACAAUUUUGUACUUCUUGUUUAUGCAAAGAAAGGAAAGAAGUAGAAGCCAAUUUGUUAUCAAUACUUCACAGAGAAUGACCAGGUCACAAGCUUCCACCACUACUGCUGAAGUGGACAUACAGUUCAAGACUAAAGCAUAAUUGAAAUCUAAAGAGGAGAAAAGGAAAGCACGAGAAGGGAGGAAAAGGGCAAUGAAAAAAGGGAGUACAUUGAAGGAUUGAGUACAAGGAGAAGAGAGGAGGAUGAAGACAAUGAACAUAUUUAUGGUCAUAAACUUUGUAUUAUAUUUUGGAAACUGUUGUAUUUGUUAAGUAGGAUGGGAUGUAUCCUUCUGGUGAUGUUAAACUUGGUGUCGAUAUUUGAUACAUAUGUUCAUUUUUUUGUUAGACGGAUGAAUUAUAUAUCGAUGGCUUUCUAUGAUGCUUAUAGUCA